This 484-nucleotide ribosomal RNA is filed under the name uncultured bacterium. Its description in RNAcentral is "partial 16S ribosomal RNA". It matches the Rfam family "Bacterial small subunit ribosomal RNA", at positions 30 to 507 of the family's 1533-position model. The record is from RNAcentral.
AUUGAACGCUGGCGGCAGGCCUAACACAUGCAAGUCGAGCGGAUGAAGGGGGCUUGCUCCUGGACUCAGCGGCGGACGGGGGAGUAAUGCCUAGGAAUUUGCCUGGUAGUGGGGGAUAACGUCCGGAAACGGGCGCUAAUACCGCAUACGUCCUGAGGUAGCAAGUGGGUGAUCUUCGGACCGCACGCUAUCAGAUGAGCCUAGGUCGGAUUAGCUAGUUGGUGGGGUAAAGGCCUAGCAAGGCGACGAUGCGUAACUGGUCUGAGAGGAUGGUCAGUCACACUGGAACUGAGACUCGGUCCCGACUCUUACGGGAGGACGCAGUGGGGAAUCUUGGAGAAUGGGGGAAAGCCUGAUACAGCCAUGCCGCGUGUGUGAAGAAGGUCUUCGGAUUGUAAAGCAAUUUAAGUUGGGAGGAAGGGCAGUAAGUUAAUACCUUGCUGUUUUGACGUUACCAACAGAAUAAGCACCGGCUAACUUCGUG